GCCCAAGUGGUGGAAUUGGUAGACACGCUAUCUUGAGGGGGUAGUGGCGACAGCCGUGCCGGUUCGAGUCCGGCCUUGGGCACCA
This 85-nucleotide transfer RNA is filed under the name Gammaproteobacteria bacterium. RNAcentral describes it as "tRNA-Leu". It matches the Rfam family "tRNA". From Rfam's summary of the family: Transfer RNA (tRNA) molecules are approximately 80 nucleotides in length. RNAcentral also lists the same sequence under 4 other names. Lineage: Bacteria; Pseudomonadati; Pseudomonadota; Gammaproteobacteria. The record is from RNAcentral.